UGACGAGCGGCGGACGGGUGAGUAAUGUCUGGGAAACUGCCUGAUGGAGGGGGAUAACUACUGGAAACGGUAGCUAAUACCGCAUAACGUCUACGGACCAAAGUGGGGGACCUUCGGGCCUCAUGCCAUCAGAUGUGCCCAGAUGGGAUUAGCUAGUAGGUGGGGUAAUGGCUCACCUAGGCGACGAUCCCUAGCUGGUCUGAGAGGAUGACCAGCCACACUGGAACUGAGACACGGUCCAGACUCCUACGGGAGGCAGCAGUGGGGAAUAUUGCACAAUGGGCGCAAGCCUGAUGCAGCCAUGCCGCGUGUGUGAAGAAGGCCUUCGGGUUGUAAAGC
This 339-nucleotide ribosomal RNA is filed under the name uncultured bacterium. RNAcentral describes it as "bacterial SSU rRNA". It matches the Rfam family "Bacterial small subunit ribosomal RNA", at positions 89 to 431 of the family's 1533-position model. The record is from RNAcentral.